Helianthus annuus (common sunflower) is the source of this 3663-nucleotide long non-coding RNA. RefSeq lists it as uncharacterized. The record is from RefSeq and is a predicted model, not a curated record. The transcript is spliced from 3 exons. NCBI's taxonomy places the organism in Eukaryota, Viridiplantae, Streptophyta, Magnoliopsida, Asterales, Asteraceae.
GAUACCAGUCCAGUCACGCCAAUGCUCUGAUAAUUUCGGGGUGUGACAGAUUGGUAUCAGAGCUAUAGGUUACAGCGAACAGGGUUUUCCGUAGGAAUACCUAGGCUCUAACCUCACUAUCCUCUGGGAACUUAGAAUAUUAAAACCUGAAUGCAUACAGAAAGCAUAGUACUCGAAUAUGGUCUCCAACCGUUGCCGAAAAACAAACAGUCAAGAUUUUGUUUUCAAACAUACGCUAAAGUGGUGUUUUACACACGGUACACAAAACAGUCGCAUACAGUACACAAAACUCUGAGAAUUUAAGAAACAUGCAUUUAAGACCUCCGGAAACUCAUGUAGAAGUUCAUUAAAGGUCACCACGUAGGUACCACGUUUAUUAACUCGGACAAACGUCAUUUUUAUGUCAUCUAUGCUAUUUAGCCGAGCAGGUAACCUACGCAAAACGAAGCACGAGCGUGCAAAAUUACACGAAAACUCGAUCAAUGGAGGUUGAAGUAUGUCACAUACGACUAUCAAGGCGAUGCCUUAGAAAGGAUACGAUGGCGUAAUUCAGCAACGACGCUAGAUACUGUCAGCACGAAAACUAUCGAUCAGGAAGCGGCGGUUUGGCACGCGAUCCUGCAAACGACACGAGUCAUGCUAAGGAAAAGACGCAAGUCACCGUAUCCCCCCUAUCCGAAUAAUGACAAGUACGCUAUGUUUGACUCCAUGGUAAUGUCACCUAACAACUGGUCGUCACAUGCAACCCCAGGUAAAGUCCUUAAAUUUCUUUUAUUGAAAUUUCGACUUUCACACUUACUGAGUAGAUUUUAGAAUCUCUACUCCUCUUGAUGGUCAUUGUGUCAUGAUCAUUUCUUCCAGUAUAGCGAAUACCCAUUUGCUUCGUUUCUUGAAAAUUCAUAUGUUACGCAUGCAUCGUUUGUUACGCAUGUGGUUUCGUUUCGAAUAAAGCGUUUCAUUGAAGCUCAAAUAUUGUUUCGCUAAAUCUAAUUGUUGAUUUGUGAUUCGAAUGACCUGCAUCAUUGUAAUUGUUGGCUUCUUCGUUAUCAGGUCAACACGUUUUCUUGAAAUCCCUUUUCCUUUCAAGUUACAUACAUGGUUUUCGUGGUGACCAUGCCGAAAGUUUUCUUGUCAAUACAUGCAAUUAUUGUCGGCUUGCGCCAAAGUCAAAUUCAAUUGUUUGAACUUGUUCAUUUCACAUAUUCAAUUCAAGACAUCAUAUGAUGUAUUGAGAACAUCAUAUUCGAAUUCGUUUUAACAAGCAUUUCAUUGCUCUGAGUCGUAGUAGAUUUGUUUGAUCUACGACUCCAUUAAGUCGUUUGUUGAUUUCGACACCUUGUGAUGUCAGUACAGACUUGUAGCUUGGGCUAAUCAUGAUUGAGCGUUUUAUGCAAAACACAGGUGAUACUUGUUCGAUCACCGCCAUAUUUGAAUUAUUUCAUUCACUACGACACCUUGUGGCGUCAGUAGAACUUUCAGCUUGGGCUGAUCAUGAUCGAGCGUUUAAUGCAAACUAGUACAUUUGAGCUUGUUGAAAUCUAAAUUCAUUGAUUGGGUACAAUCAUUUCUAGAAUUCAUUUACAUCUUGUGAUACAUCCUUGAAUUCACAUCAUUUGAAUAAGUCAUGAUUUGAUUUCAUGAUCGUUCAGUUUAGUACUAUUCACAUUUUCUACGCAUAAUGUAACUCUAAGGAGUUAACGUAGUGUAAAUUUCGAGGACGAAAUUUUAUUAACAGGGGGAGACUGUGACAACCGGUAAUUUACGCCCUUAAUUACGUGAUUAACAGGCGACUAACACGAUAAUAAAUAGUGUUUACGACGCUAACCAGGCCCUUCAAGUGCCCCGGGACGUUUGUUCAGCUAUAUAGUGCGCGUGUGGUGAUUUACAGAAAAUAUACUUAAUAUUACGCGGCAACGGACCGAUACCGUACAAAGUACUGACGACGCCGACAAAUAUGGAUGUUACACGAAUAUUUUAUGCUCAUGGAGUUUGGGUCGCGAUAUCGGGUCUCGUAGGAAUUACGGGCCGCUCACACAUGAGAUGGGCUUGUGGGCCCUGGGCCCAAGCCCAAAACACACAAGCCUAAACCUACAUAUAAUAUAUUAGAUUUUUUUUUCUACAAGACUCUUCUUGUAAAUCUAUCCAAAAUCUCUUCAAGAUCUUAGAAAAAGAAAAUCUUGUCAAAAUCUAAGCAAAAUCUUGACAAAAGAUUGUUGUCUCAAAAGUUUAGAACACACAAGAUUUGUAAGAUAUCUGUUAUCUCUAUAAAUAAGGGGUGUAUCAUCUUUCAUUCACAACACAUACACUCACACAAGAACCCACAGACUUAAAAGUCUGCCCUCUCCUUCUCGGUUACACACACACACAAAUAGAGAACAGGCCUUUCAUCCCCUCUCACCCUCUCGAUUUCAAAAUAAACAAAUUAUAUGUACAAGAUACACACACAUAUGAGAACCCUUCAUUUCUUUGAUCCUCAAAAUAACACCACAGGAACUGAACCCCACCUCCCCUCCAUCUCAGUGCAGACUGAUGACCACAAGGAGGACCGGCGACGGUAGACGGUAGCCGGCACCCCUGUGUUUCCGGCGAGUCCUCUUCCAGGCAACACCCACCCCCACCCCCACCCCCUCGUCUCUGGUCCGACGGCGAAACCGGUGGUUAACCGGCUACUCGGGUCAUUUUCCGGCGACGAAGAUCGGAAGAAAUGAGAGAGGCGAGAAGAGAAAGAGAGAUCUGACGGACAAAGACUCGGACCUCCGGUCGGUCCAUUUAUCCGGCAGUCCAUGACAUUAUCCGUCAAAAUUUCACGGUAAGACUCCUCCUCCCGCGUGCAUCUCCAUUUCUUUUGUUAGAUGACGUUAUUGAGGUCCGCUGAUGAUGAUCGGUUUGUCGGGUUUCGGGUUCGACUCGGUUCUGGUUCGGGACAGCCGUGGCUCCGGCUCGUGUUCGUGUGUUACAGGCUCCGGUUUGGGGUCCAGGUCAACGCUAGUCAAAGGCAGCUUCACAUUCGUUCGGGUCAGCGGGAUCAGGUGUGGUCAAACCCGGUCAAAGGAGGUCAGAGAUGGUCAACUGCAGUGCGGUUCGGGUGCAGGAUUCACCAAGUUUCUAGCUUUCUACUUCAAGUUCUCAUCCCACCUAUACCGUGUUUUUUUUAUAGGCAUGGGUAGGUCGGAUCAUUUCUUUUCACCAACAUUGACUUGCUAGCAUGGGCACGGGACGCAUUAUGGUUGCAUUUCUAAGACAAGGCACGGUUGGAAUAGGAGAACCAUGAAGAGUCGAGUACUUAGUGGCGUUCAAUUUCCUAAAAGACUUAGAUUGUUUGCUUCCGCUGUGCAAUGAAGAUACCAGUCCAGUCACGCCAAUGCUCUGAUAAUUUCGGGGUGUGACACCAUUAGCCCACUAAUGAUGAUUUAGGGUGUUAGUAUUAACUAGUUUAUUAAAUUAGUUAACUAGGUAUUAUGAUAAUAAAAAUAUCGCUAGUUUGUUCGUCGGCUCGAAACCGGACAAUUUGUGAAAGAUGCGUCGUAAUACUAGAAGCUAUGUUUUGGAUAUUCCAUUGAUAUCCCGGGGUUUAUUUAAGGAGUUGGACAUCAUUUACAAGCCUUAUGGACAUUGUAAAAGUUGAAUUUUAGUGUUACGGGCAAUUAUAUUUAUUGCAGUUUA